RNAcentral lists this long non-coding RNA (1544 nucleotides) under Mus musculus (house mouse). RNAcentral describes it as "long non-coding RNA chr19:20583523-20585067". The record is from RNAcentral. Lineage: Eukaryota; Metazoa; Chordata; Mammalia; Rodentia; Muridae.
AAGAGGAAAGUCAAUAAGAAAGAAAGGCCCGAGGGAAGAAGGAUUGUCAAGCACACGACAGUGUUAAGUAAAAGAGAGGUGUUAAGGGAAAGCAGACUAGAAUGAGGAACAGAGGUCCCUGGCAGUGUGGCCUUGCAGUAGCUCUCAACCAGAUUCCCAAGGAACACCUGCUACUCUGCAGGUGAGUGUGCCCCACCCCAGAGAUUCGAACUUAGCACUUUUGUAUUGGGAAGAUUUCCAGCUGGUGUGAAGGUGGCUACCAGGGCAUCACCCCCAGCAGCUGGCUGUACCAGGAGGAAAUGGGCCACGAGCUAUUUCAGUGGUCUGACAGCUGCCUAGGGGUUCCAAUGCCCCAAGGUGCUUCAGAGGAAGCCUUCUACCUGAGCUUAAACCAGGCCUAGCAGAUGAGAAUCUGUUGUCCCUCAUUUGCUCGGUGAUCCGGAUGCUCUACACUAGUUCAGUGACUCCUCGGACUUUUCUGAUGCUUACAGACCUGAAAUCUGGGCUCUUCAGGUAAAUGUCUGUAACGGGUGAGGGGGUGCAUAAAACACAUAAAACAAAUAUGUAGCCCACAAGCUUGCAAGUGCAGCUACAAGACUGGGUGUGACUUCAUGCUUAGGAACUCAACACGUUGCUAAUGUGUAAAACCACAAUCGGGAAGACCAUUGGAACUGUGGUCACAGAUCUAGCUAUGUCUGAAAAAAAUUUCAAACGUGGGAACAAAUUUAAGUAAGCAAAUGCAAAUAGAGAUUUUUUUUUAAGCUAAUAGCUUUCACAAAUAUCUAUUGUAUUUUACUUUUGCAAUAAAAUAAAUACGCAUUUACGCUGCAACUGGAACUGCAAGAUUUUCAAGAAGCCUCGCUGGUGAAGAGUCUUUUGUUCUAAGGGAUAGAUUAAAAAGCUCACCUGUAUUUGAACACAAAUAUUUAGAUAUUAGCAAAUAAUUGUGUCUACAUGACGCAUAACGCUCACCUGCAGUGGAACACAAAAACUUCUAUUGAGUGAAAUUUGCCUGCUCCUGGCCUAGGAACACAGAUUCAGAUUGCCCUAAUAACAAAUUCCAAUGAGAAGACCGACCUUCCUGUACUUCUAGUUACAGAACUGAAGUCAUAAGUUAAGGUACUUUUUAGAUAUCUUGGUAGGGAUACCACAUAGGUAGGAUUCACCAAACAGAAAUUUCUGCUGUGAAUCUUUGAUGUUAUUCUUGCUUAUGCCAUUCUUAGCUUUUGGGCUGGUGGAAGCUACUGAUUUUCUAAGUAAAUAUAUCCUGAAAGAUUGUAUCUGAUAUCCGGGAGGAUGUUAGAGCAGAUACAGGGGUGGGAGUGAAUGACUACUUAAAAACCAAAGGCAGAGCAAGAUAAUUCAUCUUUGGAUCUGCAACAUUCCAACUCUCUACAAUUAGUGAAGUUCUAAGCAUGUGGGUGGCCCUGUCGAAUCUUUAAUGUAGGUGUGGUUUUCAGGAGCCUAGUCCGCAGUUCUAUCUUUUGGCCAAGAAUCAUCUUUUGUGCAUUUGGAGGCCAAAUAUUGUGUAGAGCUCAGUAGGC